RNAcentral lists this ribosomal RNA (287 nucleotides) under uncultured bacterium. RNAcentral's name for it is "partial 16S ribosomal RNA". It matches the Rfam family "Bacterial small subunit ribosomal RNA", at positions 775 to 1067 of the family's 1533-position model. The record is from RNAcentral.
GGAUUAGAUACCCUGGUAGUCCACACGGUAAACGAUGAAUACUCGCUGUUUGCGAUAUACAGCAAGCGGCCAAGCGAAAGCGUUAAGUAUUCCACCUGGGGAGUACGCCGGCAACGGUGAAACUCAAAGGAAUUGACGGGGGCCCGCACAAGCGGAGGAACAUGUGGUUUAAUUCGAUGAUACGCGAGGAACCUUACCCGGGCUUAAAUUGCAGAUGAAUUACGGUGAAAGCCGUAAGCCGCAAGGCAUCUGUGAAGGUGCUGCAUGGUUGUCGUCAGCUCGUGCCG